GCGGCGGGUGCCAUGCGCCGGCAGCCGCACGGUCUCAGCGCCCGCCCACCCGCCCGCCCUCCGCGGUCACGCCUCGGACGCCCAGCACCUGCCCCGCAGGUUUCUUAAGCCUUCUUGAUUAGUCCAUUUGUGUGUGUGUGUGGACAACAGUGAUCCAGUACCCAGGAAAAGAGAUAUUCUCAAAGA
This is a long non-coding RNA of Canis lupus familiaris (dog), 186 nucleotides long. RefSeq lists it as uncharacterized. The transcript is spliced from 2 exons. NCBI's taxonomy places the organism in Eukaryota, Metazoa, Chordata, Mammalia, Carnivora, Canidae. The record is from RefSeq and is a predicted model, not a curated record.